Non-coding RNA from Schizosaccharomyces pombe (fission yeast), 778 nucleotides. The record is from the annotation of a GenBank genome assembly. NCBI's taxonomy places the organism in Eukaryota, Fungi, Ascomycota, Schizosaccharomycetes, Schizosaccharomycetales, Schizosaccharomycetaceae.
AUUCAAGCAAGAAUCUCUCGAUUUUUUCAAAGCCCUAGCAAGCACGCUAUAAAUUGAUUAGUUUUUUUUUUUUUUUUAAAUUAAAAGAUACAGAAAAACUUACUUUUUAUCAUACUUCCCCUCUAAAGCAUCAGGGCGAGAAUCACUUGCUCUAGGUUGAAGCAAAAAACUUGAACUAAUGAUUGAGGUGGAACCUCCAGGCGUUUCGGAUUCUUCCCGUUCCCCUGAAGGAAGCCCAUUAUUAUGUGAAAAAGUUCCAUUAAGGCUCAUCUCUUGAACCACAAAUUUCUGCUUUGGCUAUUUUCGGUGAAUAAACGCAAUUGCUAUUAAGCAAGCGUUGACUAUAGAAUUUCAAUACGUUCUUGUCGAUAUGUGCAGAAUUGGAUCCUUUUCUUGAAAAAUGACACAAUCAUUAGUAUUUAAUGAAGUAUACUAGGACUGCUUAUCUGAUUUCAAACAACCCCAUUCAGUUAUUAGUUGAAGUUUAGUACGUUGAAAAGGUUCUAAACAUGGUAAACCUGAAAUGAAUAUAGCAAUACCGCAGUGUGCUAUAAUAUUAUAUAGGUAAGCCAUCACUAAAACUAUAUGCUCAACAGUUAGUUGUCUUGUGUUCGCAGAGGUAUACAAACGUUAUUCAAUAUCACUUACUUUAUUUAUGAUCUGAAAUUUCUUCCAACUAAACUAAGGAACGGAAUCUGGUUGUGAGUUAUUCGGGUACAGUAAAAAUAAUUAUAAAGAAUAUUAAAUGAGACCCUCUAUAAUCUUAUUAUGAUCCUUA